ACCACCGACAGGUUCUCGGCGCGUUGUUCCGCCAUCCUCCCUCAGCCACGCGGGGCGGGGCCGCUCGCGGCGCUUCCUCCUCAGCAACUGCCGCUGCUCGCGCGCAGAACCACUGAACACCAGAAAGGUGCCGGACCCACCAUCUGUUCUGAAGUUGCACAGAUGAUGGAAAUUAUACAUGUAAUGCAAAUAGGUGAGAGCUACACACAGCUACUGAAAAACCUGCCUGAAGUAAGCUGUAACAGCCCCUUCCAAGCAGUGCAGCUGUGUGUUACCGAUUACAAAUAUCUGGAACUGCAGAUUGCCAAAGUGAAGAGAAUAAAAAUAGUGCAUUGGCCUAUAUAAUAUGAAGACAUGUUAGAAAAAAUGUAAUGGUUGUGAAAACAUAGUCCAAACUAACUUUUAAUACUGUGCCACCUGUGCAGUAAAAUGUUAUGUAUUAUUAUUA
Molecule: long non-coding RNA, 448 nt
Organism: Mauremys mutica (yellowpond turtle)
Lineage: Eukaryota; Metazoa; Chordata; Testudines; Geoemydidae
Exons: 2
Source: RefSeq, a predicted model, not a curated record